Small nucleolar RNA from Jaculus jaculus (lesser Egyptian jerboa), 304 nucleotides. The record is from Ensembl. Lineage: Eukaryota; Metazoa; Chordata; Mammalia; Rodentia; Dipodidae.
CCCAGGUGCUGAGGUUAUAGGCAUGAACCACUUAUCUGGCUCAGAUACUUGAUUUUAAAUAUUAUUAUGCUCUGUGUGCUCACUGUAAGGACAGACCAACAGGGUUAUUUACCUACUUUUGAACCACCUCACUUCAAUACGGGUGAUUAUUACAGAUGUGGAGGAGAAAGGAGGAGAAAUUGUGGUAACUUAAAUGAGAAUAGUAAAAGGAUUAUUGAAGUUAAUCAGGUCAGAGGUCUCAGAGGACUUAGCAGUGUUGUGGCUAUUGAGAAAUGAAACACAGACCCUUAGUUAUCUUAUGGCU